CCGAGUUUUCGGGCUUCGGCUCGACUCUCCCACCCUUUGUGAACGUACCUCUGUUGCUUUGGCGGCCGAAGCCGCCAAAGGACCUUCAAACUCCAGUCAGUAAACGCAGACGUCUGAUAAACAAGUUAAUAAACUA
This 136-nucleotide unclassified non-coding RNA is filed under the name uncultured Lasiodiplodia. RNAcentral's name for it is "sequence contains ITS1". The record is from RNAcentral. Lineage: Eukaryota; Fungi; Ascomycota; Dothideomycetes; Botryosphaeriales; Botryosphaeriaceae.